AGUGACGGUUAACGGGGGAUUAGGGUUCGAUUCCGGAGAGGGAGCCUGAGAAACGGCUACCACAUCUAAGGAAGGCAGCAGGCGCGCAAAUUACCCAAUUCUAACAGCAUAAGAGAGGUAGUGACAAGAAAUAACAAUACAAGGUAAUUAAAUUGCUUUGUAAUUGGAAUGAUAGAAAUUUAAACACUUUUUAAAGUAUCAAUUGGAGGGCAAGUCUGGUGCCAGCAGCCGCGGUAAUUCCAGCUCCAAUAGCGUAUAUUAAAAUUGUUGCAGUUAAAAAGCUCGUAGUUGAAUUUCUGUUAAAAAUAACCGGUCUGCUUUUAUUAAAAGUGGUAUCUUGGUGUGUUUUUAGCAAUAAUGUCCUUUGAAAUGUUUUUUACUUUAUUGUAAUAAGUCAUUAUUUUGAGGAUUUUUACUUUGAGAAAAUUAGAGUGUUUCUAGCAGGCUUACGCUUUUGAAUACUGCAGCAUGGAAUAAUAAGAUAGGAUUUUAGUUCUACAUUAUUGGUUUUAAGAACUAAAUUAAUGAUUGAUAGGGAUAGUUGGGGGCAUUUGUAUUUAACUGUCAGAGGUGAAA
Molecule: ribosomal RNA, 576 nt
Filed under: Hepatozoon sp.
Lineage: Eukaryota; Apicomplexa; Hepatozoidae
Description: bacterial SSU rRNA
Rfam family: Eukaryotic small subunit ribosomal RNA
Source: RNAcentral